AUGACAGUGACACAAACGCUUAAUCCCAAACACCUGCCUCUGCCACUAGUUUACCUUUGCUUGGCUGAAAAGGAGUGGGUGUGGCCACAGAUUAGAAUUUAUUGUUACACGGUUGUUUGCAAUGAACAUUCACUUUUCAGUGACUAUCUUUUCUUUAAACUUCCUGCACAUGGGGUUUAUUCCAUCAAGGUGAAGAUGGCAGGGUGCCCUGAGCAGUCUGAAGGCUUCCUUAGGGCUUGGGCCCCUCCAGCCAUGGUCAAGGAGAUGGACUGCCUCUUGGUUUCCCAAAUCAAGGAAAGAGGAUUGCUUAAACUGGCAAGUUACUUUCAAGUAUACCUUAAACAAAUGUGGUGAGCCAUUUGGUCACGUAUGUGGAUGCACCCAGUGGGAUACACGGAAACAACAGACUGGGUGUACUUGGAGCAGCUGGGCGGAUCUUAAGGAUGCAGAGCUGAGCACAAAGUAAUAAGCAAAAAGAGAUAUAGGACGUGAUAGAUAUGGUCACAAUGUUGGGGGGGGGCAAAGAGGAUGGAGAAGAGCAAUAGUUAAGAUUAGAUAAGUCAUGUGGCUUGAUUUUACAAUGGGAACCCCAAGGCAACCAAGAAUUGUCAGCCUCUUAGUAAAGGCAGUUAAACUUUAAAAAAUUUUAUCUAUCUAUCUAUCUAUCUAUCUAUCUAUCUAUCUAUCUAUCUAUCUAUCUAUGUAUCUACCUACCUACCUACCUACCUAUCCAUCCAUCUAUCCUUUCUUUCACACCAGAGAAAUUUAGGGUUAGGGUUAGGGUUCAGAACAUUUUCAGUCUUUUACUUAAUUUUCACAACCACGUUGCGAGAAUACGAGGAAGGUGCCUAUAUUUUGCCCAUUUUCACAGGUGAAAAAACUAAGGCUUAGGUUAAGUAACUUACCCAAGGUCGCACAGUGAUGAAGGGAUUUAAGUCCAAGUAUUUCAAUCCACAGGUGCUUUUUUUCUUUAUCCCCUAUUUGGCACACUUUUUCUAUGGAGAGCCAGAGAGUCAAUAUUUUAGGCUUUGUGGACUGCACAGUCUCAUCUUUUUUUAAAAAAUUGAAAUUAGUUGCCAUACAUAUGAUGGUAGUUUCAGAUGUACUACAUAGUGAUGUGACAUUUGCAUACAUUAUGAAAUAAUCACCAUGAUAAGUCUAGAAACCAUCUGCCCUCAUGCAAAGUUACUACAGUAUUGUUGACCAUACUCCUUACGCUACAUGUUACAUCCUUGUGGCUUGUUUUUUGGAUAAGUGGAGGUUUGUACCACAGGCUCUGUCUUGACUACUCAGCUCUGCUCUUGUACUGUGAAAGUGGCCAGAGACAAUAGGUGCCCGAAUGGGGAUGACUGUGUACCAGUAUAACUAACUGUAUUCCCUUUCUCCAGCCUUGUGUGGCUUCCUUAUAGGCAUGCUCUCAUCAGUGUUUGGCCAAAGUCUCAAGAGUGAGCCUCUGGUGCUCUUUUUGUGCAGCUCUCUCCUCUCUGGUCCUCUGCCCUGCACACUCUUAACCACCUGCUCUCAGAAUCCCAUCCCUAUCUGCUCCACCCGGUGACUGCUAGGCUCAGCAAGGCUGCUCCUCCAGAGGCGACGCCUCAGAAGGUCUCCCCAGGCAGUGAGCUGGGUCCAUCACAUGACUCCCUUCUCUCAGGUGGAACUAUGCUCAGUGGUUAAUGUCUGAAAACCUUUGUAUAGAUUUCAUUCAGUUUUUUCAUUGUUUCAGGCAGAAAGGACAACUCUGGUUCUUGUUAGUUCAUCCUGUUCAUAAGCGGAUGUCCUGGUAAACUGAUUUUUUCAAUUUCUGGUUCCGUUCCUAGGCUCCAGAUCUGUGUGCUGUAGGCUCUGAGUCCUUGCAUAUCUGCAAAUAGCUCUCUUUUCACUGUAACAGGGAAUGAUAGCUCGGCUAUUUCCUGGGUGGCUUAUUUUUUUCUUUCAGCAUUCUAUGACAUUUCCUAGUAUUCCUUCUGAUUCCUAGUGUUGCAGAAAAGAAGUCAAAUGUCAGUUCAUUUUUCCCCUUGUAUGUGUAACUUGUUCUAAAUGUCAAGAAGCUUUCAAUAUAUUUCUUUUGGUCCUUGGAACUCAGAAUGUUUUAAAACUCACCUAUGCCUCUUUAGAUCAAUCCAGACUAGAACAUAUUAAACUCUAUUUUAAACUACAGACUCAGCCUUUCUCCAAGCCAGGGACUGUUUUCCUCUACGUCUGUAGUCACUACCUUUCCUUCAUGUACACCGUUUCCCUUCUACUGGAAAUCUUUUUUUGUUGUUUUUUGUUUUUUAGGGCCGCACCUGUAGCACAUGGAGGCUCCCAGGCUAGGGGGUGAAUCGGAGCUACAGCUGCCAGCCUCCACCACAGCCACAGCAAUGCAGGAUCCGAGUUGCAUCUGUGACCUACACCACAGCUCACAGCAAUGCUGGAUCCUUAACUCACUGAGCAAAGCCAAGAAUUGAACUCGCAACCUCAUGGUUCCUGGUCGGAUUUGUUACCACUGACGCAUGAAGGGAGCAAAGCUUUUCUUUUUUUUUUUUUUUGGCUGCACCUGUGACAUACAGAAGUUCCUGGGCCAGAGAUCGAAUCUGAGCCACAGCUGUGACCUACACCACAGCAGCUGUAAUGCUGGAUCCUUAACCACUGAGCCACAGUGGGAACUCCUAGUUUAUUUUUUUAAGAAAUAAAUUUUCAGCAAGCACACUUGGUGGAAAAACA
RNAcentral lists this long non-coding RNA (2703 nucleotides) under Sus scrofa (pig). RNAcentral describes it as "lncRNA (ENSSSCG00055001129.1)". Lineage: Eukaryota; Metazoa; Chordata; Mammalia; Artiodactyla; Suidae. The record is from RNAcentral.